AUGUUGUCUGUAGCUCUGCUGCUGGUUUUGGCUGCCGGAUCCAGUGUGAAGUGUGAGCAGCUGACUCAACCAGCCUCUGCGACUGUGCAGCCAGGUCACCGUCUGACCAUCAGCUGUCAGGUGUCUUAUAGUCUGGACGCCUGGACACACUGGAUCAGACAGCCUGCUGGGAAAGGACUGGAGUGGAUCGGUUUCACAUGCAGAACAUGCACUCCAGUCUACAAAGAUUCUUUAAGAAACAAGUUCAGUUUUACAGUGGAUUCUUCCAGUAAAACAGUCACUCUGAACGGACAGAAUCUACAGCCUCAGGACUCUGCAGUGUAUUACUGUGCUAGAGACCCCACACUGACGCAACACUUCUGCAGAGCUGAACAAAAACCCUUCAGAGCCUGA
Molecule: non-coding RNA, 393 nt
Organism: Poeciliopsis prolifica (blackstripe livebearer)
Lineage: Eukaryota; Metazoa; Chordata; Actinopteri; Cyprinodontiformes; Poeciliidae
Source: the annotation of a RefSeq genome assembly